AGCGAGAAAGAGAGAGAGAGAGGGACAGACCAAACUUUGUGACGCUGCGGUUGCACCGAAACUCAUCCCUGCAUAUACCGGGACAAAGAGGAAAACUUCCCCACGACUGGCAUUGGGACAUUGGCCCCGGCCCUCAAUCUCAACCAUUUCUAACUGUGUGAAGAAAAGUGAAAAGAAGUUUUAAUGAACCAAUAUUCGCUAGCCGACGCCAUGACAGACAACUUGAGGAUUUUAUAAUUCUCUCCGGAGGAAGAGCGUCGCAUCUUGUAAGGAGCCACAGAGGAAACUUCACAGUUCCGAAGUUAUCAGAGUCUAAUAUGGGAUUUGGCGUGCUGGGAGUGUUCCUGGGGCUGCUCCUCGAGGUCUCCACCCAUGGACCCCAUGCUGUGCCUCGAACUUCCUGGAGACACCAAGAUUUAGAUCUGAUGGAGUUUUCAGAGCCUGGGAUCUUCAACUACUCCACUUUGUUGCUGAGUGAGAAAAAGGAUGCGCUGUAUGUGGGAGCCAGGGAGGCUGUCUUCGAACUCAGCAAGAAGAAUGUGACCAUCAGAAACAACAAGGUUCAGUGGACAGUGGCUGAGCUCCCCAUGAUGAUGUGCACGCUCAAAGGAAAAUCAAAAGAGAAGGAUUGCCUGAACUACAUUCGCGUGCUCCAAGUUGUAGACGACGAGCGUCUGUAUGUCUGUGGGACACACGCCUUUCAACCUCAAUGUGAUUACUUGAAUCUCGCUGACUUUUCACUGGUGGGUCGAGCUGAGGAUGGCAGAGGGAAGUGCUCCUUUGACCCCUCACAGAGCUUUACUACUGUCAUGGUUGAUGGAGAGCUGUACUCAGGGACAGCUUAUAACUUCUUAGGCAGUGAACCGAUUAUUUCUAGAUACUCACCUUCCCAGUCUCUGCUGAGGACAGAGUACUCCACAUCAUGGCUCAAUGAGCCCAGUUUUGUUUUUGCCGAUGUAAUCAGGGAAGGGAAAAACAGAGCAGAUGGAGAGGAUGACAAAAUCUACUACUUCUUCACCGAGGUGUCUGUGGAGUAUGAGUUCUUUGGCAAGCUGCUCAUUCCCAGGGUGGCACGCGUCUGUAAGGGUGAUCAUGGGGGGCAGCGGACACUGCAGAAAAAAUGGACUUCUUUCCUGAAAGCUAAGCUGGUCUGCUCCAUGCCUGAACUCAACUUUGUUUUCAACGUAGUACAUGAUGUCUUCAUCCUGAAGGGGGCAGACUGGAGAGACACAGUCAUCUAUGGUGUCUUCACCUCUCAGUGGGGUAAUGUAGGAUUGUCAGCAGUGUGUGCAUACAACAUGACAGCUGUGGAAGAGGUUUUCUCCAAAGGCAAGUACAUGCAAAAGGCCACAGUGGAGCAGUCCCACACCAAGUGGGUCCGGUACAAUGGCAUCACUCCUUCUCCACGUCCUGGAGCAUGUAUCAACAACCUCAUGAGGCAGCAGAAUAUUAGCAGCUCUCUGCACCUGCCAGACAAGACACUGCAGUUUGUUAAGGACCACCCCCUGCUGGAAGAUCCGGUCCUGCCCAUCGGCAACGGGCCUCGCCUCAUCACUAAAGACGUCAACUAUACACAAAUUGUUGUGGAGAGGGUCCGUGCGCUUGACAACAACAUUUAUGAUGUCAUUUUCACUGGAACAGAUAAGGGAGUUCUUCACAAGUCAGUGGUAUUUGAUGGAGAGGUUCAUAUUGUGGAGGAGAUCCAGCUCCUGAAGAAUGCUGAGCCCAUCAAGAACUUGCUGCUGUCAUCUGAGACACGAUCCCUGUAUGCUGGUUCAGACUCGAGUGUAGUCCAGUCACCCACAGCCUCCUGCGGCAGGUAUCUGUCCUGUGAUGACUGUGUGCUGGCACGAGACCCCUACUGCGCCUGGGACCCUCAAACUGCUGCCUGCGUCAAUAUCAUUGAUAUUCCCAGCCAAGAGCUCAGGAAACUGAUACAGAGCCUGAAUGGUGAUGCAGACAAGUGUCCUUCAGUGCCAGAUGUGUCUCUGAAGUACUACCAGCAUGUGAAAGUGAAACAGGGGAGCUCUGCUGAGUUGCCGUGCCUGAUAAACUCCAACCUUGCCCAGGUGAUGUGGAAAUUCAACAGCUCGGCACUCACUGAGGCCUCUCGCUUCCACCUCAUUGGCGAAAACGGUCUCCUUAUUUACAGCGUGGCUCCAGAGGAUCAAGGUCACUACGAAUGCUGGUCAGUGGAAUGGGCCCCCGCAGUGGGGAAAAACUUCAGCCGACUCCUGGCUGGAUAUGUCCUGACUCUGGAUCUCCCGCCUAGAUCCCCACACCAGACAGGCCACGUGACCACCCCCUUCGUCCACCAUGAGUCGUCUAGCUCACUUGCCUCUGAAGGUAAUAGUAACACAGAAAGAGCCCCACUAACUUCGGCCCUUGCCCCUCCCAGCUUCACAGCCACAGCCCUCUUCACCACUCCACCCCAAACUGAUGCUUCACUAACCCCGCCCCCAAGCAGCACAGUCAAGUCCCAGCCUAAGCUGUACCUCCCAAGCUCCAAUGCUCCCCGCCCAGAGAAUGUAGGGGAUCCAUCGGCUGAGUAUUUGCAGCACAACAACAGUACCGCCCUCCUCUUCCUCUUCCUACUGUUCUUCCUCCUCUUCCUGGCCGCACUGGCGUACAACUGCUACAUGCAGUAUCUUCCUGCUCCCUGCCUGCGGAUGCGAGCUGCUCUGCUGGGCAGUAACAAGAGCGCCCAUCAGCCUGAGUAUCGAGCCUGUGAAGCAGGUCUGAUGGAAACAUCUGCGACAGACAAAAUAAACAUGACAGAGCAACCAACCCAGAAUGGUAGCCAAACCACCCAAAAUGUGCGAGCGCUCCGUGACACCGGGUAUGAGACCGAGCCUGAGUGCGGCAAUGGUAGGAUCCCCUCUCACAGUUUUGGAGAUGACAGCCCAUCCCAGGAGAAACCCUUCGAUGUGGACUGUGAUUCUCAGCCCAUCCAGUUUGCAGAUGCAGAUGAAGCAUACUGAUACUGUUUUGUUUCUCUUGCAUAGAGACUGUUUAUAGGGGAGGGGGUCAAGAUCUUGCUUCAUCAUUGCAAAAUACAAGCGGUGUCCUCUACGUGAAAGUAUGUUCAGUGCGCAGCAUCUCGUGAAAUUUAAUCAUUACAAGACUUAAGUCAGGCAUCCCGCUUUCCUGUAGAGAUUGAACUACUACUGUCUCAUUUAAUGCAUAUGUGAGUUAUUCAUGGAAGCUACUCCCUCUCAGCUUAGUCCAGCGAAAAAAGCUAUUUCUUAAAUUCCAAAUUGGAAACACUGUUUACCAAAUUGGUAAGUUACUGUGAUGUUUUCCAAAUUGGAGUCGUGUUUUUUGUACAGCCUGGGUGGGAAAAUAAUCUGUUGAAGCUUUUGCAUCUUUUUUUUUAAGCAACGUGUAGGCUAUCUGACAUUGGGUAAAUUCUUCAACAUCAUAGUCAUUUCUCAGGGAAGAUUUGCUCAGUACUUUAUAGCCGAGCAUUGAUGUACAGCGUUGCCAUCUGUAGCACCUGGUGUGUGGGCCUUAAUCUCACCCAGUGAGGUGGCAACAUAGGGUUAAAAGAACAGAAAAAGAGACGACUUGCAUGAUAGAAAAAUGCUGGAAUAAAUGAAACCACUGUCUUCUGAAGAGUUGUCCUGAGUGAGAAUGUUUAGCUUUUCUGUAUUUUAAUUUUUCCCCCCUGUGAAGUCGACAUUCCUCCAUGGAUACAAGCUCAACUCUCAUGAUCCUGUGUAAUUAACCUCUACUAGUCAUCUAUCCUUAUGUGGUCUGUUAAUAACAUGAAUAUGUACAGUAUGACAUGAUGCUUGAUGAUAUCAUCAGUUAUUUCUCGAAAACUGGAAACAAUCUGAAGUUAUUUUUGUAUUUUUAAUGAAGCCUUUGGUUUUAGAACCUUUUUCAGAGAAUUAUUAUUUAAGAGGAGUCACAUCUGUGGUAAUAUCAUUUUGUCCAUUUGUGUUUAAUUUAUUGCAGCAGAUUUUGAUUUUAGAUGCUCAUUCGUUAGUCUCCCCCUCGUCUGUUUUGCAUGUCAUCCCGUGUGUAGUUUUCCUGUUUUCCUCAAUACUCUCUUUUUCCAUCACUCCCUCCCUCACAGCCUCCUCUCCUGUCGACACCUCAUCUUCACUGUCCUUCUCUGGAAGUAGCACUCCCUCUGCCUUCCCUUCCUCCUCCUCUUCCUCCUCCUCUUCUUCUACCUCCUCCUCUUCCUCUGCCAAGCCCCACAGUGUGGAGGCUCGAGAGGCAGAGGUGAGACUGUUGCCUCCCCUGCUGAAGGACCAGGCCUGGGGGAUUCAUGCCCAAGAGGCCUUUCUGCUCUUCUGCCUGGCCUUGGGUCCCAGUGAUGUCCACAUUCACUGGCUAAUAAAUGGGCACAGUCUGGACACCCCCAUAAUGGAGGAACGCCACCCGCUGGGUCAGAGCAAGGUACUCGUGAGCAGCUGGCUCCGAGAAGGGCCGCUAAUCAAGGACGCCCGUUACCACUGUGUCGCUGAGGCCAGCACAGGAAAUGACAUGUCUGAGGUCGACCUCCACCUCUCAAUCGGAGAUGAGGAGAGCAUUCCAUCCAGGGAUUUGAACCAAUGGAGAGGUGCGCUCACAGAGCAUGAGCAAUUGCUGAAAAGAUGGGAAAAGGCCUGGGAAAGCUGUGAUGGCCACCGAACUCUGUGAAGACGUCACAAGCUUCACUUGCGUCGGCUGAGCCUGGUUGUGAACAUCGUCCUCAGCCCGGGUGGACUGCACCUUUUGACACUGAAACAAUCAUAAACAGAUGGAAUAUGAUGUCCCAGUGUCACUUCUUACAUUGGAGUUUGAUGGACCGUGAAGCAAAGAAUGCACGACAACUGCCUUAUGCAGAGGCUCUGCUGGUUGUGAUGAUGGUUUGAUGGCGACUCCUUCCAAAACUCACAUGGAGAUGAGGCUCUUUGGUUGCCUCAGUCUGAAGACAUGUGGGCUACCUUUUUACCACAUUUCUAUUUUUUAUUGAUGAAAAUGAACAUCCUGAAAGCAGUGCUUGUAUGGAACAAUACAUCAUAAAGAAGGGUACACCUGGCUGUUCUGUAUUUGCAGCAUCUGUGACAGUUCAGGCCUGUUUACAGUGUGGUUUAUUUUUGCAAAUGCCACAGAGAUGUUUGCACCUUCACUGCCUUCCAAAGCCUCGAUAUGGUCCUUCACAGCUUCCUUGCAGUUUGACAUUUUCACUAGAGAUUAUAGCAUCUUUAAUCCUUACUGGACAUUUCUUUUUUCUUCCAGAGCCCGAGCUUCUCUUCAGUAGGCUACUGUGGGUCUUUUCAAUCACAGUAUACUUAUGUUUGACAUUAAGCAAGAUUAUAUAAUCAAAAGAUAAAAAACACCAGCAUUCAAAUGUGGAAUUCAAUCCAAGGACAGCAUAGGUUGUUACAGACCUUCUUGCUUUUUGUCUGCAGUUACAUUUUUCUUCAUGUUUAAACUGUGGCUAUGUGCCUUUUGAAGCAGAAAUAAAUGGAGUUUGU
Scomber japonicus (chub mackerel) is the source of this 5474-nucleotide RNA transcript. It is a transcript of the gene named sema domain, immunoglobulin domain (Ig), transmembrane domain (TM) and short cytoplasmic domain, (semaphorin) 4D, with no coding region annotated. The record is from RefSeq and is a predicted model, not a curated record. The transcript is spliced from 20 exons. Lineage: Eukaryota; Metazoa; Chordata; Actinopteri; Scombriformes; Scombridae.